Lactuca sativa (garden lettuce) is the source of this 1018-nucleotide long non-coding RNA. RefSeq lists it as uncharacterized. Lineage: Eukaryota; Viridiplantae; Streptophyta; Magnoliopsida; Asterales; Asteraceae. The record is from RefSeq and is a predicted model, not a curated record.
GACUCUUGCACUCUUCACUCUUCUCUUCACUGUUCUGUUGAUAAAUCUUCGUUGAUCCUCCUCCGAACCACACCUGUUUCUCAUCUACAUUCAACAACGAAGUCGACACUUCGACAGGAAGCUAACAACUCUCAGCCUCUGAUUCUCAUUCUUCAUUACAAAAUUUCACCCUAGAUUGAAUGGACUGUGGAUUCUUGGAUUCUGGUAAUAAAUGUGACAGAUUUGUUAUCAAUAUUGAUAACCCCAAUAGAAUUUGCCUUCAUCGAGAUGUUAUCUAAAAAAAUACAUUAUCUGGAGAUAGCUGAGGGAUUUUUUUCCUUGAUAUGGUGUUGUAAUUCUUGGAAGUCUAUAGUAAUCAUCAUGACAUGUCUCAUGAUACAAUGUUGAGGCUCACACUCUCUUAUUAUCUGCCAAAUAUCAUUCUCAUUGCAUGUCUUCAAAUUCAAAGAUGUCGGAUUCUUGAGGCUUUAUCUCACAUGUUUGUAUUUGUGUACAAUAACUACAACCACAAUCGAUGACGGAAACAAAAAAUGAUGUUCACUAGUCGUGAGCGUGCUGCAAAGGUCAACCUCUUGGCUUAUUUUGAUGACAAGUCUAUCCUUGCAGAAAUUGACGUGAACAUAAAAGAUUAUUGAAAGACAUCAUUGUACACAUAAACAGCAUAUUGCUGCAUCAAAAGGGCACGAGAAGAUGAUUGGUCUAUUGAUAGAAGAAAAGGAGGUCGACUUUGAUGUCUGUUGCUAAUGAAGAAUGGAGCCAUAUCAAAGUCUGAAGCUGAUGAGGUCUAGAUAAGGUUGUUACAGUUUGAGGAAGUUUCACAUGAGUCGAGGAACUUUUGUAUAUCCUAUUUUGAAUAUUUCUAAUUCAUUGAUAGCAUGUAAUGAUUCCUCCUCUCCAUCUAUUUCUUAACUAGGAAACAAAAUUAAUUGUAACUGUCAUCUGUAAUGAUUCCUCCUCUCCAUUUGGUAGCCAAACACAGCAAAAACUUAAAUCAAGUUAAAACUCCAUGAGUUCCAUA